AACGAACGCUGGCGGCAUGCCUAACACAUGCAAGUCGAACGAGACCUCCGGGUCUAGUGGCGCACGGGUGCGUAACGCGUGGGAACCUGCCCUUAGGUUCGGAAUAACUCCCCGAAAGGGGUGCUAAUACCGGAUAAUGUCUUCGGACCAAAGAUUUAUCGCCUUUGGAUGGGCCCGCGUUGGAUUAGCUAGUUGGUAGGGUAAAAGCCUACCAAGGCGACGAUACAUAGCUGGUCUGAGAGGAUGAUCAGCCACCCUGGGACUGAGACACGGCCCAGACUCCUACGGGAGGCAGGAGUGGGGAAUAUUGGACAACGGGCGAAAGCCUGAUCCAGCACUGCCGCGUGAGUGCUGAAGGCCUUAGGGUUGUAAAGCUCUUUUACCCGGGAUGAUAAUGACGGUACCGGGAGAAUAAGCACCGGCUAACUCCGUG
RNAcentral lists this ribosomal RNA (433 nucleotides) under uncultured bacterium. Its description in RNAcentral is "partial 16S ribosomal RNA". It matches the Rfam family "Bacterial small subunit ribosomal RNA", at positions 29 to 507 of the family's 1533-position model. The record is from RNAcentral.